This 747-nucleotide ribosomal RNA is filed under the name Trypanosoma everetti. RNAcentral describes it as "SSU rRNA". It matches the Rfam family "Eukaryotic small subunit ribosomal RNA", at positions 120 to 776 of the family's 1831-position model. Lineage: Eukaryota; Euglenozoa; Kinetoplastea; Trypanosomatida; Trypanosomatidae. The record is from RNAcentral.
CAAAAAUGUUGCGGUCUCCGCAAAAUUGGAUAACUUGGCGAAACGCCAAGCUAAUACAUGAAUUAAGGGACGCGUUCUGUUCCGGCGGCGGGGCAACUCGUCGCCUUGGCGCGUCCGGCGAAUGAAUGAAAGUAAAACCAACGCCUUCACCGGCAGUAACACUUAGAAGUGCUGACUCAAUUCAUUCCGUGCGAAAGCUGGGUUUUACCUGGCGUCUUUUGACGAACAACUGCCCUAUCAGCCAGCGAUGGCCGUGUAGUGGACUGCCAUGGCGUUGACGGGAGCGGGGGAUUAGGGUUCGAUUCCGGAGAGGGAGCCUGAGAAAUAGCUACCACUUUUACGGAGGGCAGCAGGCGCGCAAAUUGCCCAAUGUCAAAAAAAAACGAUGAGGCAGCGAAAAGAAAUAGAGCCGAGAGCGCCUUUGGCGUUGUCGUUUUCAAUGGGGGAUAUUUAAACCCAUCCAAAAUCGAGUAACAAUUGGAGGACAAGUCUGGUGCCAGCACCCGCGGUAAUUCCAGCUCCAAAAGCGUAUAUUAAUGCUGUUGCUGUUAAAGGGUUCGUAGUUGAACUGUGGGCCUUUGAGGCGCAUUGGGUUUGUCCCGUCCACUUCGGAUCGGUGACCCAUGCCCUUGAGGUCCGUGAACACACAGAACCAAAAAACACGGGAGUGGUACCCUUCCUGAUUCUCGCAUGUCAUGCAUGCCAGGGGGCGCCCGUGAUUUUUACUGUGACUAAAAAAGUGUGACC